CUCACAUCUCGGCCUUUUGGCUAAGAUCAAAGUGUAGUAUCUGUUUUCUUUGAUGUAGAUUCACCAGUUUUCAAAAAUGUAUACCGGACAACAUCAGUCGACACCAAAGAAAUACUAAAUAGAUAUGAUCACAUUUCAUAAAUUGUUCAUCCAGAGAGACUGCUCCUACUUGUAGAAAUAGUAAUCAUUUUAAUUGAUUAGUAAUUAGUGUUCCAAUU
This 218-nucleotide small nuclear RNA is filed under the name Rhodnius prolixus. RNAcentral's name for it is "U2 spliceosomal RNA". It matches the Rfam family "U2 spliceosomal RNA". Rfam says of the family: U2 is a small nuclear RNA (snRNA) component of the spliceosome (involved in pre-mRNA splicing). Complementary binding between U2 snRNA (in an area lying towards the 5' end but 3' to hairpin I) and the branchpoint sequence (BPS) of the intron results the bulging out of an unpaired adenosine, on the BPS, which initiates a nucleophilic attack at the intronic 5' splice site, thus starting the first of two transesterification reactions that mediate splicing. Lineage: Eukaryota; Metazoa; Arthropoda; Insecta; Hemiptera; Reduviidae. The record is from Rfam by way of RNAcentral.